RNAcentral lists this microRNA (22 nucleotides) under Schmidtea mediterranea. RNAcentral's name for it is "sme-miR-13-3p". Its record names the gene sme-miR-13-3p. Lineage: Eukaryota; Metazoa; Platyhelminthes; Tricladida; Dugesiidae. The record is from miRBase by way of RNAcentral.
UAUCACAGUCAUGCUAAAGAGC